This 94-nucleotide microRNA precursor is filed under the name Thalictrum thalictroides. Its description in RNAcentral is "mir-393 microRNA precursor family". It matches the Rfam family "mir-393 microRNA precursor family". The record is from Rfam by way of RNAcentral. Lineage: Eukaryota; Viridiplantae; Streptophyta; Magnoliopsida; Ranunculales; Ranunculaceae.
UGAGGAGGAAUCCAAAGGGAUCGCAUUGAUCUCAUAUCUCUAGCUCUUUCAUAUUGAGUUUUUGGGAUCAUGCUAUCCCUUUGGAUUCCUCCUU